UACGUAGGGGGCAAGCGUUAUCCGGAUUUACUGGGUGUAAAGGGAGCGUAGGCGGUGCGCCAAGCUGGGUGUGAAAGGCCGGGGCUCAACCCCGGGACUGCACUCGGAACUGGCGUGCUAGAGUGUUGGAGAGGUAAGCGGAAUUCCUAGUGUAGCGGUGAAAUGCGUAGAUAUUAGGAGGAACACCAGUGGCGAAGGCGGCUUACUGGACAAUAACUGACGCUGAGGCUCGAAAGCGUGGGGAGCAAACAGG
This 253-nucleotide ribosomal RNA is filed under the name uncultured bacterium. RNAcentral's name for it is "partial 16S ribosomal RNA". It matches the Rfam family "Bacterial small subunit ribosomal RNA", at positions 524 to 776 of the family's 1533-position model. The record is from RNAcentral.